UUAUAGAUUUGUUGGAUCCCUUUUCGGAGAGAAUGAAUUUUGAAGCUAUGGACCCUCCUUCUCUCCUCUCUUUUCUCUUCCUCUUGCCAAACAAAAGAUUCUACCUCUCAUUCCAUUACUCUCCCACCAAUCUUCUCCAUCCACCCAUCUCUCCUCCCUGCCAAUCAUAGUGUAAAUCUCCCUCACAUCUAACCUCUCAGCUCUCUCUCUCUUUGUCUCACCCUUUUCUCUUGCAGGUGGCUGGCGCGGGAGGCUCGACGGAGACUGCGACGGGGAUCUACGUGAACCAGACCCCAAAACUUCGGUCGAGCCUUCUCCCUGACGUGACCAGACCCCAAACCUAAUCUAUAUAACUGUUGAACUUGUUGAGUCUCUCGUCCUUCUCCCUCUCUGUGUAUCCUUGCUCUCUCUAUCUUCUUAUGAUGACAUGCUCUGUGCAAUAAUGGCGUGUGUCUUCAAGUUUGAUUUCAGCUAUUAAGGUACAAUUACAAAAGCUUUAUUGAAAGGAAUAGACACAUGAAAAACUCUUGAUUUAUGGCAGGAGCUCUUGUUUGCAAACUGUAUAAAUACAGAGGAUAGCCACUCUUCAAAGAAAACUGCUCUGUUUUCCAUCUAUGUACCUUGCUGAAAUAUUUUUGUUGUGAUUGGAAGGAUUAGUGGAAGGUUAUGACUGUGACUGAACCUAUUGGCAGAGUCGCAACACAUGUAUCUUGGGAUGAAGACAUACACUUGAGAAAAAUAAUGGGACUCGAAGUUAAUGGGCUGCCAAGCUAUUUUGAGCGGAUGAGUCACAACUAGGGUAACUAUAGGGUUAGUUGUUUUAUCAAAAAUGAAACUUAGUGUGAAUUUAUAGUUUUUAGUUUUACUCAGUAAAAACAAGUACUUUUGAUCAUGUAAUUUUACUUUUUGAAAUUAUGUGGGAUUUUUUUUAUAUAUAUAUUUUUAUCUAUAAGACAACAGUUCCUACAAAGUAGUUUUCUCAUGUAAAACAUGGCACGAUGUUUGUCUAAAAACUGUGGUCUCAUGUAACGACCCUUGCUAAAAAAUUGUUGUCUUAUGUAACGACCCUUGCUAAAAAACUAUUGUCUCAUGUAAUACUGGGGACGACUCUUUUAUUUGAA
Long non-coding RNA from Humulus lupulus (European hop), 1121 nucleotides. RefSeq lists it as uncharacterized. The record is from RefSeq and is a predicted model, not a curated record. NCBI's taxonomy places the organism in Eukaryota, Viridiplantae, Streptophyta, Magnoliopsida, Rosales, Cannabaceae. The transcript has 5 exons.